Molecule: ribosomal RNA, 221 nt
Filed under: Gentiana squarrosa
Lineage: Eukaryota; Viridiplantae; Streptophyta; Magnoliopsida; Gentianales; Gentianaceae
Source: RNAcentral
UCGAAUCCUGCUAAGCAGACGACCCGAGAACAUGUUUAUCGCACNGGCUUUGGGACAAGGAAACCGCGGAUCCGUAUCGCCCNGAGCAUGACGUCGACCACCGUCUCGUCGUCCAAACAACCAACCCCGGGCGCAGAAACGCAAGAAAAACGUAAAUAGGAUUGUCUGCCUCCGUCCGUGCCGUAUGCGGUCGACGGAGGACACGGACGCCUAAAGAAACA